GGGUCAGCAGGUUGGUCGUGCCACUGGUAUGAACUGGCCUUGCUGAUUCCUCCUUCUUGAAGAACCGUGAUGCCAUUAAUUUGGUGUUGCGGGGAAACAGGACUGUUACUUUGAAAAAUUAGAGUGUUUAAAGCAGGCUCACGCUUGAAUACAUUAGCAUGGAAUAAUAAAAUAGGACGUUUAUCCUAUUUUGUUGGUUUCUAGGGUUGACGUAAUGAUUAA
This 222-nucleotide ribosomal RNA is filed under the name uncultured Glomeromycotina. RNAcentral describes it as "partial 18S ribosomal RNA". The stretch from base 40 to 222 matches the Rfam family "Eukaryotic small subunit ribosomal RNA", at positions 686 to 872 of the family's 1831-position model. The record is from RNAcentral. Lineage: Eukaryota; Fungi; Glomeromycota.